AGAGUUUGAUCAUGGCUCAGAACGAACGCUGGCGGCAGGCCUAACACAUGCAAGUCGAACGCACCUUUCGGGGUGAGUGGCAGACGGGUGAGUAACACGUGGGAACGUGCCUUUCGGUUCGGGAUAACCCAGGGAAACUUGGGCUAAUACCGGAUACGCCCUUUGGGGGAAAGAUUUAUUGCCGAAAGAUCGGCCCGCGUCUGAUUAGCUAGUUGGUGGGGUAAUGGCCUACCAAGGCGACGAUCAGUAGCUGGUCUGAGAGGAUGAUCAGCCACACUGGGACUGAGACACGGCCCAGACUCCUACGGGAGGCAGCAGUGGGGAAUAUUGGACAAUGGGCGCAAGCCUGAUCCAGCCAUGCCGCGUGAGUGAUGAAGGCCCUAGGGUUGUAAAGCUCUUUCGGCGGGGACGAUAAUGACGGUACCCGCAGAAGAAGCCCCGGCUAACUUCGUGCCAGCAGCCGCGGUAAUACGAAGGGGGCUAGCGUUGUUCGGAAUCACUGGGCGUAAAGGGCGCGUAGGCGGCCAUUCAAGUCGGGGGUGAAAGCCUGUGGCUCAACCACAGAAUUGCCUUUCGAUACUGUUUGGCUUGAGACCGGAAGAGGUAAGUGGAACUGCGAGUGUAGAGGUGAAAUUCGUAGAUUUCGCAAGAACACCAGUGGCGAAGGCGGCUUACUGGUCCGGUUCUGACGCUGAGCGCGAAAGCGUGGGGAGCAAACAGGAUUAGAUACCCUAGUAGUCC
This 741-nucleotide ribosomal RNA is filed under the name uncultured bacterium. RNAcentral's name for it is "bacterial SSU rRNA". It matches the Rfam family "Bacterial small subunit ribosomal RNA", at positions 8 to 796 of the family's 1533-position model. The record is from RNAcentral.